CACCUUCCACCUUCUAGAACUCACUCUCUCUUUUCAAACUCUCUGUCUUCUCUUCUCUCCACAUCACCAUAGCCCAACGAGAGCUCGAGACACCAUCACCACAGAUUCUAAUUAAAUCGAGACCCCAAACCACCAAAUACAAAACCUGCGCAACCUGGGGAUCCCUAUGGUACCGUGGUAUGUUAAAUUAUGUAAUGGGAAGUAGGAGAAUCCAAGCAGGGGUUCUCGGUGAGAGUAGCUCUAAUGGAAUCAAGCUACAACCUUUGAAUGCCUUCUAGCAUCUUGGAUUAAAUCUGGGUUCGAAAAUAUGGGUCUCUGACCUCUGUGAUUAUUUGUUCUUCACCCCAGCUUCUAGCAUGGAGCUCCGGCGAGGAACCCGUCGAACUUGGGGUCCCAUGAGCUCGAAUUGGUCCCGUUCGAAACUCAGAAAACCGGCAAUGGAAAUCCGACAUGUUCAUGUCGAAUCGAAGUGAAUUUGACUCGAUUUCAUCUGUUAUGAUGCCAUGAGGAAAUUAUCUGAAUUUCUGGUGAAAUUCUAGUGCAAACCCAUGUGAAACCGAGGUGUUUCACCUCUGUUCAUUCUCUGCAAUCAGUUCCAGAAACCAGCGAACCCACACCAGUGCAACUCCGGUGAAAUCUGAGACAAAUCUACCCUCUUUCAUCCUUAAUCUGUGAUUGGGUGCGAUGUUAUGAUACAAAGUUGAAUUAUGGGGCACCUAUGGUGGAUUAUACUCUCAUCAUCGAAAGUGACGACCAGUAGGCGGUAUUUGCAAAUAAAGAUUAGCGUGGCGAACAAAAUAAGCGUACCAGUACAAAAUAAAGCGCCCGGAGUAGGACAUUGACACCGAGCGAAUAGCUAAUCUAGCAAUUGAAGAUGAAUUUGCACAUGAUCCAAUUUAUAAAGGUUUGAUUCAUUUGGAAUAACCACAAGGUGUGUUUACCUUAUUUAGUUCUUGCUAUUUAUAGUUCAAUGUUUUUAAGCUCAGGUUCGUGCUUGUAUUGUCCCUAGUUGUAAUCUAUGCGUCUUCUUAAUUAGUGUUUAUCCUAUAUAUUCAUGGAGGGAUGUUCCAUGACUACCUAAAUAAACCAUUGUCCCUUAUUGUAAUAUUAAUUCAGAUUUUGAGAGUAAAACACAGCCUUUGGCUUGGG
Molecule: small RNA, 1149 nt
Filed under: Malus domestica (apple)
Lineage: Eukaryota; Viridiplantae; Streptophyta; Magnoliopsida; Rosales; Rosaceae
Description: sRNA MD05G0198600
Source: RNAcentral